Zea mays is the source of this 1188-nucleotide long non-coding RNA. RefSeq lists it as uncharacterized. NCBI's taxonomy places the organism in Eukaryota, Viridiplantae, Streptophyta, Magnoliopsida, Poales, Poaceae. The transcript has 3 exons. The record is from RefSeq and is a predicted model, not a curated record.
AGAUGUAAACUGUAAACUCUGACUCUGAGUUGAACUUUUGGUGCAAACAUGUGCCAUGUUGAUUAGUGAUUAUAUGGUGAACUGGAAGCUUUGUGCUGUCACAUGCUCUUGUAAUUGACUGCAUUGAGUGUUAAUUAGUGGUGUUUCUAUUUUUUUUCUGUCUGUUGGUUUCAUAACUGAUAGCUUUAUUUGAAGAGUUUUCUUUCGGUUUCCUUGAAAAAUAUAUUAAUACAAGUUUUUUUUCCAGAUUUGCUUGCUUUGCAGGGAGCGGGGUCAUAGUCUAAAGAACUGUCCUAACAAAAGCGAGGGAAAUUUGAAGAAAUUUGCUAUAACUGUGGUGAAUCUGGACACUCUCUUUCCAAGUGCCCCAAGCCCAUUGAGAAUGGGUUACGAAUUUUGCAAGCUGCUUUAUCUGCAAUCAGCAAGGGCAUUUGAGCAAAAACUGCCCUAAAACAAACAUGGCAUCUAUCCAAAGCUGAUCACUCUUAAAAAACUGACGGGUCCUGGUGUGAGUGGCAGAACUAUUGGAUAGGAUCGCCCUGAGGGAACUCAACAUCACCACUGUUGUACAAAAGUAGGCCAAUUGACAUAUGCACUUUGUUCAUUUAUGUUGGUCGAUUCUACCCAGUUUAAAGAGAGACUAAAAUGUGGGCGUUGUUGCUGGUAUUGGAGCUUAAUCACAUCCUGAUUAUUCAAGAUAAAUAUAGUGAUCAAAUGUGACAUGUUUAUUCAAGAUAAAUAUAUCCUGUUACUGAACAGAUACAAUGGAUUCAACUUCAGUCAAGACCAAUAUACAAUGGAUUUGGCUUCAGUCAAGACUAGAUUGCUUCAUAUCCAUGCUGGCCCUAUGGUCCAGUAACAUUAUUUCCACUUUGAAAAUUGAAAAUGAUAGUAUUAGUGUAUUACUAUUGUACAUUGUUUUAUGUACAUGUUUUUUGAUUUUGCAAAUAAAAAAAAAUUGUGCUGCAGUUUACCGUGAAUUUGAUGGUCUAGCUUAUUUAAUACAGAAGGUAAGCAUGUAAGCUUUUGUUAGGUAAGUACUCCAAGUUAAGUAAUUUCUCAUCUUCAUGACUGCAGAAACCAAGAAGUAUGACUAAGUUUCUGUGAUCAGAAUGCCUUCGUUUCUAUACUUCUGGAUCACUUGAACAAAUGUGACAGUUGCUAAGCUUUUUUAUAAUGUUUGUCACA